This 465-nucleotide ribosomal RNA is filed under the name Vreelandella stevensii. RNAcentral describes it as "partial 16S ribosomal RNA". It matches the Rfam family "Bacterial small subunit ribosomal RNA", at positions 338 to 795 of the family's 1533-position model. The record is from RNAcentral. Lineage: Bacteria; Pseudomonadati; Pseudomonadota; Gammaproteobacteria; Oceanospirillales; Halomonadaceae.
CCUACGGGAGACAGCAGUGGGGAAUAUUGGACAAUGGGGGGAACCCUGAUCCAGCCAUGCCGCGUGUGUGAAGAAGGCCCUCGGGUUGUAAAGCACUUUCAGUGAGGAAGAACGCCUGGUGGUUAAUACCCAUCAGGAAAGACAUCACUCACAGAAGAAGCACCGGCUAACUCCGUGCCAGCAGCCGCGGUAAUACGGAGGGUGCGAGCGUUAAUCGGAAUUACUGGGCGUAAAGCGCGCGUAGGUGGCUUGAUAAGCCGGUUGUGAAAGCCCCGGGCUCAACCUGGGAACGGCAUCCGGAACUGUCAAGCUAGAGUGCAGGAGAGGAAGGUAGAAUUCCCGGUGUAGCGGUGAAAUGCGUAGAGAUCGGGAGGAAUACCAGUGGCGAAGGCGGCCUUCUGGACUGACACUGACACUGAGGUGCGAAAGCGUGGGUAGCAAACAGGAUUAGAUACCCCAGUAGUC